RNAcentral lists this ribosomal RNA (433 nucleotides) under uncultured bacterium. RNAcentral's name for it is "partial 16S ribosomal RNA". It matches the Rfam family "Bacterial small subunit ribosomal RNA", at positions 29 to 507 of the family's 1533-position model. The record is from RNAcentral.
AACGAACGCUGGCGGCAUGCCUAACACAUGCAAGUCGAACGAGACCUUCGGGUCUAGUGGCGCACGGGUGCGUAACGCGUGGGAACCUGCCCUUAGGUUCGGAAUAACUCCCCGAAAGGGGUGCUAAUACCGGAUAAUGUCUUCGGACCAAAGAUUUAUCGCCUUUGGAUGGGCCCGCGUUGGAUUAGCUAGUUGGUAGGGUAAAAGCCUACCACGGCGACGAUCCAUAGCUGGUCUGAGAGGAUGAUCAGCCACACUGGGACUGAGACACGGCCCAGACGCCUACGGGAGGCAGCAGUAGGGAAUAUUGGACAAUGGGCGAAAGCCUGAUCCAGCAAUGCCGCGUGAGUGAUGAAGGCCUUAGGGUUGUAAAGCUCUUUUACCCGGGAUGAUAAUGACAGUACCGGGAGAAUAAGCUCCGGCUAACUCCGUG